Molecule: ribosomal RNA, 354 nt
Filed under: Candidatus Cardinium sp.
Lineage: Bacteria; Pseudomonadati; Bacteroidota; Cytophagia; Cytophagales; Amoebophilaceae
Description: bacterial SSU rRNA
Rfam family: Bacterial small subunit ribosomal RNA
Source: RNAcentral
GGUUAAGUCCUAUAACGAGCGAAACCCUUUUACUUAAUUGCCWGCACGUAAUGGUGGGAACUUUAAGUAGACUGCCCGUGUAAGCGGGAGGAAGGAGAGGAUGAGGUCAAGUCAUCAUGGCCUUUAUGCCCAGGGCUACACACGUACUACAAUGGCAUGUACAAAAGGAAGCUACUUGGUAACAAGAUGCAAAUCUCAAAAGCAUGUCUCAGUUCGGAUUGAGGUCUGCAAUUCGACCUCAUGAAGUUGGAAUCGCUARUAAUCGCGUAUCAGCAAUGACGCGGUGAAUACGUUCUCGGACCUUGUACACACCGCCCAUCAAGCCAUGGGAGUUGGUAGAGCUUGAAGACAGUG